AUAAUAAGUAACAAUAACCUUUGUAUAAGCCCGAUAAUAAGGUUUGGGUGUUUCUACCAUACUACCGUAAAUAGUAUAACUAUGAAGAAGUAAUCCACGAAG
This 102-nucleotide non-coding RNA is filed under the name Clostridium argentinense. Its description in RNAcentral is "Guanine sequence". It matches the Rfam family "Purine riboswitch aptamer". From Rfam's summary of the family: Riboswitches are metabolite binding domains within certain messenger RNAs that serve as precision sensors for their corresponding targets. Allosteric rearrangement of mRNA structure is mediated by ligand binding, and this results in modulation of gene expression. Lineage: Bacteria; Bacillati; Bacillota; Clostridia; Eubacteriales; Clostridiaceae. The record is from RNAcentral. RNAcentral also lists the same sequence under 1 other name.